RNAcentral lists this ribosomal RNA (468 nucleotides) under uncultured bacterium. Its description in RNAcentral is "partial 16S ribosomal RNA". It matches the Rfam family "Bacterial small subunit ribosomal RNA", at positions 28 to 507 of the family's 1533-position model. The record is from RNAcentral.
GACGAACGCUGGCGGCGUGCUUAACACAUGCAAGUCGAACGGAAAGGCCCUGCUUUUGUGGGGUGCUCGAGUGGCGAACGGGUGAGUAACACGUGAGUAACCUGCCCUUGACUUUGGGAUAACUUCAGGAAACUGGGGCUAAUACCGGAUAGGAGCUCCUGCUGCAUGGUGGGGGUGGGAAAGUUUCGGCGGUUGGGGAUGGACUCGCGGCUUAUCAGCUUGUUUGUGGGGUAGUGGCUUACCAAGGCUUUGACGGGUAGCCGGCCUGAGAGGGUGACCGGCCACAUUGGGACUGAGAUACGGCCCAGACUCCUACGGGAGGAAGCAGUGGGGAAUAUUGCACAAUGGGAGGAAGCCUGAUGCAGCAACGCAGCGUGCGGGAUGACGGCCUUCGUGUUGUCAACCGAUUUCGCAUGUGACGAAGCGUGAGUGACGGUAAUGGGUAAAGAAGCACCGGCUAACUACGUG